RNAcentral lists this ribosomal RNA (491 nucleotides) under uncultured bacterium. RNAcentral's name for it is "partial 16S ribosomal RNA". It matches the Rfam family "Bacterial small subunit ribosomal RNA", at positions 29 to 507 of the family's 1533-position model. The record is from RNAcentral.
GUGCACGCUGGCGGUAGGCCUAACACAUGCAAGUCGCACGGCAGCACAGUAAGAGCUUGCUCUUCCGGGUGGCGAGUGGCGGACGGGUGAGGAAUACAUCGGAAUCUACUUUUUCGUGGGGGAUAACGUAGGGAAACUUACGCUAAUACCGCAUACGACCUACGGGUGAAAGCAGGGGAUCUUCGGACCUUGCGCGAUUGAAUGAGCCGAUGUCGGAUUAGCUAGUUGGCGGGGUAAAGGCCCACCAAGGCGACGAUCCGUAGCUGGUCUGAGAGGAUGAUCAGCCACACUGGAACUGAGACACGGUCCAGACUCCUACGGGAGGCAGCAGUGGGGAAUAUUGGACAAUGGGCGCAAGCCUGAUCCAGCCAUACCGCGUGGGUGAAGAAGGCCUUCGGGUUGUAAAGCCCUUUUGUUGGGAAAGAAAAGCAGCAGGUUAAUACCCCGCUGUUCUGACGGUACCCAAAGAAUAAGCACCGGCUAACUUCGUG